GCAUCACCUGGUUAGUCUCAAAAAGCUAAACAAGGCUGGCCUAGGCUAGUCCUUGGAUGGGAAACCACCCGGAAAUUCCAAGGCUGCA
Molecule: ribosomal RNA, 88 nt
Filed under: Salvator merianae (Argentine black and white tegu)
Lineage: Eukaryota; Metazoa; Chordata; Lepidosauria; Squamata; Teiidae
Source: RNAcentral